Molecule: long non-coding RNA, 1056 nt
Organism: Triticum dicoccoides
Lineage: Eukaryota; Viridiplantae; Streptophyta; Magnoliopsida; Poales; Poaceae
Exons: 3
Source: RefSeq, a predicted model, not a curated record
ACGGCUCGGUCGCUCGCAUGUCUCCGUCUCUCGUCUCUCCCUCACAUCUGGCAGGCACCGGGAGGCAGCGCCGGAAGGAGGCGAGCAGCGGCAAGCAGGAAAAGGCAGCGGUGGAUCGAUUCCAAGUCGUGCUCCUAGCCUCACCGCCGGCAGGCAGCAACAAGCGCCGGCGUCCCCUCCCCUUCUCGUCGGACCCGUCUAGGUCCAGCGACGGUGGCGGCCAUCUAUGGUAGCCUAAUGCAGAUGACAGAAAACGUGAUGAAGUUUUGAGGCAAAGUGUUGCUGAUGGUUGGUUAGUACUACAAGAUCAUCCGCUCUACACUGAUACUAGCUGCUUGGAUCUGGACACUUGUUUUGGGCAUAUAACCAUCAUUUAUAGAAUUCAAAGAAUUGUUCUAUCGAUUAUUUUUGUGCCACUAUAUAUGUGUCUUGUUCGUGUUUGAUGCCAAAGUUCAAUAUAUUGUACAUAAUCACAAAAACACAAGUGGAGAGAUGAAUAAGUCCAUUCCAUUCCAUUUAUGAAACCAAACACCAAAAUGUAACUAUUCCAUUCCUUUAAAUUGCCCCUACCAAACACAAGAACGGAACCGACCCAUUCUAGUGGAAUGGAACCAUGCCAUUUCAUUCCACUUCGUUUCCCAAGCAAACACACCUUUAGAUGCCUCACUUCCACAACCGACCCGGGUGAGGGACAAGUCGAGAAGAAAAAAGAUGGGAGCGGGUGAGGGCGAGGAGGUGCCGCCGCUCCCUUUGGUGGCCCAGGCUCCUGCGACCACCGGUCAGCUCUUCGUGUGCCCUUGGCCUGGUUGCCACGAGAUCACGGAGAACGCCUCGGAUGCCUACAUCCGCACUCACCGGAAGGCCCACCGGCUGCAGUGAAGCGGAUACCGCAGAGAAGAAUAAGCUGAAACAGAGGGCGGAGGACCGCGCCAAGGGCGAGCAGGCCCGCCGCAGGCGCGAGGCCAGGGCCCAGGCGAAGGUGAAGGACAAGGAUCUUAACCCCGGUAAGCGCGGCAAGGGCGGCAAAGGCGGCCGCAACGGGAAGGUCAAGGCCAA